Molecule: long non-coding RNA, 900 nt
Organism: Salvia miltiorrhiza (redroot sage)
Lineage: Eukaryota; Viridiplantae; Streptophyta; Magnoliopsida; Lamiales; Lamiaceae
Exons: 3
Source: RefSeq, a predicted model, not a curated record
AGCAAACCCUGAAAUAUUUAUUACAGUCCCGAUAUUUUAUCUAUGUUACUAAUAACCACCCAAUAUCAUGAUAUAUUUUUUUUUACAUACAUGUGCAGACAAUCAAUUAUAUCUGCACAAUAAAAUCAUAUCUUUGAUAUCUUAUCAAAUUUUUGUCCACUUUCAUUUGCUUCCACUUUCUUUUAUUUUAUUUGUCCACUUUCUUUUGUUUCCAUUUAUUUUUGUUUUUAUGCAGUCAAAUUCCACUACACCAGAUUCCACUACACCUAACAAAUCAGUCAAAUUUUCCUUCACUCACUACUCCACCAAAUUUCUUUCAUCGGCUCUCCAAAAUCAUUUCACCAGAAAUCUCCCCAAACUCAUUUCACCAGAAAUCUCCCCAAACCAAAGCAAACAUCCAUCUGUGUAUCAACAACAAAUCAGUGAAAGGUUUUGUAGACCGUGAGGACUAGCGCUGCUAUAUCAAUUCAGAGUUAAGAAUAAACGACAGGCAUUGCCUAAUCAGGUUGAUUGGUCGGUGCUGACGGGGCAGAGCUGAGGCUAGGGUUCAACUCCGUAUUUUGUCUUCCGCUGUUGCACUAGCUCUUAUUUGUCUUUUAUUUCUCCAACUUAAGACUUUUAUGUUAAAUUCUGAAUUAUGUUUCAUAUCGAGCUUAAACUCUCAACUUCUAGCUCUAUGUUAUUAACGUUGGUUAUCGGAAGCAUGAAACCGAACUUGUGAUCCUAAGGCUUAGAAUGUUGUUGAUUGAUUAAUAUCACUUGAUUUUUGUCUUUCUUCACUCAAAGGGCGUUCCCCGACUUUUUAUCCUAUUAUUUGAAUCCCACAAGGUUCUUUCCUUGUUUAUUUCUAUGAUUUUAGUCGCACCUCGAUUAUAGUUUAUUCCUUCAAGAAUUGGGGUG